GAACCUACCGCCAAUCUCCGAUUUGUCCGAGUCCAGCACCUCAACUGAUAAUGAUUCGGAGGAAGAUAAAAGUGAUGACGAAGACGUGGAAAGAAAGGUUACUGUACAGGAGACAAAGGCUACCGUACCAUUAGCUGCUGCAAAGAAAACGAGGAAAGAAGUGCGGAUAGAAUCUGGAAGUAAUAAGAAAAAGAAAUCAGCCUCAAAAUCCCGCGGCAAUGUGGUGAUGCGUGUUCGAAGGGAACCCGAAGUUGGCAGUGACACGGGUGACGUGGAUAUCUACGAUGAUGGAGACGGGCGGCCUAGCGAUGAUGAAGAGGAAAAGAAGCCGAAUGACAAGGAGACCGCCUCAACGCCUACAAAUCGUCGAUAUAUUCACGAACGGGCGAUUUUCCAGGAGUUGACCCAUUUAAAACGAAUGCAAAUUCAGUAUGGAAAGGUGCAAGAAAAAGUUCUCGUCCGUUCCCUAAUCUCGAAUUUUUGCAAAAUGCACAACCUAGACGUUCGCAAUUUCAAAUUCACAACUUUCUACGCCUGGGAACGGUUUCUAUAUGAUGCUCUUUCCGAGCAGCUUAAGAUCAUAUAUUUGGAGGAGCGGGAACGACUUUCUGAGACGAAUAGUGAAAUGAAGCCCAGUGGUUCUAUGAAGUUGAAUAAAUUUGACUCAAAAAUCCGCAACAGUGUUCCAAUAAACGACAAGUUCCAUGACAUGCAACGAAUCUACACCCACGCUGCAAUAACCCAAAAAUCGACCGGAAAACCACGUGGCAAGAGUGCAAAGCCCAUCGAGAGCUCCAGGAAGCGAAUUACAAGACCCUGGUAUUGA
This 826-nucleotide unclassified non-coding RNA is filed under the name Caenorhabditis elegans. RNAcentral's name for it is "Non-coding transcript of protein-coding gene nphp-2". The record is from RNAcentral. Lineage: Eukaryota; Metazoa; Nematoda; Chromadorea; Rhabditida; Rhabditidae.